Long non-coding RNA from Canis lupus familiaris (dog), 412 nucleotides. RefSeq lists it as uncharacterized. NCBI's taxonomy places the organism in Eukaryota, Metazoa, Chordata, Mammalia, Carnivora, Canidae. The transcript is spliced from 2 exons. The record is from RefSeq and is a predicted model, not a curated record.
GUGAAGGCAAUAAAAAUGAAGACACCUGGCUUGGGAAUCUUCACCCAUCACUGGAGCCACUGCCACUUGGAAGGAGCCGGUUGUCUCCCUGGACCUGAGGUGUGCUCACAAGCUGGAAGUUGCAGAGGAUUACCAGUUUCAGGAAGCAGCCCUCAACCAAGCCUGAUGAAAGUUGAUGUGUCAGUGCUCUAUCUCCCUUACCUCACACAUGGAAUAGCUCUGAAAUGCCUGUCCUGCACCAGCUGGAGCUCCCCUGGACGUUGAAACUUCAUUUGCCCACACUAAGAAAUUUGCAUGAUAACACAUAUUGGCUAUCACCCCAUCCUGUAUUGGCUGUGACCCCAUCCUUCCUGUCUCUCUCCACCCCUUAGUUUCCUGGGAUCACUGUUCAAAUAAACUUCUUGCACAUGAA